Molecule: ribosomal RNA, 324 nt
Filed under: uncultured eukaryote
Lineage: Eukaryota
Description: partial 18S ribosomal RNA
Rfam family: Eukaryotic small subunit ribosomal RNA
Source: RNAcentral
CCCCUAGAUGUUCUGGGCCGCACGCGCGCUACACUGAACAGUUCAACAAGUCUUAACCUUGGCCGAUAGGUCUGGGUAAUCUUUGAACGCUGUUCGUGAUUGGGAUAGACCUUUGCAAUUAUGGGUCUUCAACGAGGAAUUCCUAGUAAACGCAAGUCAUCAGCUUGCAUUGAUUACGUCCCUGCCCUUUGUACACACCGCCCGUCGCACCUACCGAUUGAGUGGUCCGGUGAAGUCUCGAGAUUGUGGCAAUCUCCUUUAUUGGAGUUUGACUGCGAGAACUUGCCUAAACCUUAUCACUUAGAGGAAGGUGAANUCGUAACA